CUGUUAUUAAAAUUGUAUUCUGUUUGUUGGUUUGUAUAAAAGUAUUUUCUUAUAUCUUCAUUUAUUAAUUUUUUAAACCAGAAUUGUUAUGGCAUUGCGUCAAUUUCCCUGUCUUUUGGUGAAAAAAAUGUAUAUAUACCCGUAUACCAGGAAAUAGAAUCAAUAUUGUUCCAAACCACACCUGUAACAGAUCGCUUUACCUUAUCUAGUUUCUUUUUACUGAAACAUGCGUGGAAUGUUCAAAUAUGGCAGUACCUGCAGUUACACCCCCUCCUCGCCACACUCUGUCUCUCUGUUCCCUUUAAGCAGAGUAACCAACGAGGAGGCCCUGAGGUCUUUCUUGUUAAUAAUCCCUUGAGUGCCAAGAGGGCACACCCUUUCUGACACACACACACACACACAAAAAGAGUUAUAGGAAAGAGACCAUUUAUUGCAGAUACUAUCACCAUUUUGUCUGCUCGUAAGAAAAGCAAAGCAGCAAAAUGGCCUCCAGGUUUGCAGGAGCGAAGAAAUAGUCAUGAGGAAUUGCAUCUGCUUCAAACACCCACACUGAAUAUUCCAGAGACUUGCAGUGUGCAGGAUAAAUCUCUGUGAGUCAGCCAGCUGCACGACUUGCUCUGCAAGGAAAAAGGGGGGUCUAAGGCCAACCAAUUAUGUUGAAGAGUUAAAUAAACACAGACCAGCAAACGUGACGUUUAUGUGCGCUACGAAGACAGAGUUCUGGUUGAUUCUAAAGUUGAAGCAGCAGACAUGCCUACAACAAAUGCUCACAGAACUCAUGCACAUGUAAAACAAGAUGUCCUGUAUUACCACUAAGAGUUCCACAAGUGUAUUAAACACUAUUCUAAUAAUCUCUAUAUUACAUUUUGCUAAGGAUGAGAGCAUGGCUUGUUUAAUGGCACAGGAAACUAAGCAACUAUCUAGAGCUUCUUAAGAUUAUGUGGGAAAGGAGAAUGAUUACUACAAAUUAAUUAAUUAGGCUGGAGUGCCUGUCACUCUUACUUUCUUGAUCCCUAAAAAUGUGACUGAUGGGUACAUGUAUUUUAUAGUGUAUUUUCUAUGUGUUUUGUUCAUGAACCAGCAUUAUAUAUUAAAAAAGGACAAUUAGCAAUACACGUAGCAAACACACUGUAAAAUAUAUGUACCCAAACCGGGCCAGUUAUUUGGUCAUGUUUAGGCCACAUUAAGUCUGCCUGUUGGCAAUGUAGUAAUAAUGUCAUUACAAAACGUCAUAAGUAGAUUGAAACACUUGUAAAAGCUCACAACAUGUGUUUUAGUUAGACCAGUAAAAAUGGGUCUUCUAAAACAAUAUUAAGUAUUCAAAUCUUUAUUGGUCCUAGCAUUAGUCUGAUGCAGAACUGAAUUUUGCCCUUAAUAGAGACUGACUGCAUGUGUUUCUAAUUUACAUGUUGCAGGUUAAUCAGCGCUUUUGUUACUUUAUUCAUUUUUGCUGAUCAAAAUUGAAUAAUAAAACAUUAUUUUUUUUGCUAACGUGAUUCAGGAAUUGGGAUGUAAAUUUCAUUUUUCAGGUUUGUGAGAGGUGAUGCACUAAUGUGUGAUAAUUACUAGGGAGCUUUCUCCAACUUUAAUUCUAAUGUUAGUGUUUAUUAACUCAAAUAGGAAUUCCAGUGACGUUAUAACCACUUUGUAACAUUUAGGCCAAAAUUCUAUUUCUAGGUAAAAAUGUUCAAUUCAGUCAACCUGAAUUUUUUGGCAUUAAUUUUGCAAGCUAGUGUCAAUCCGUUUAACUAAAAUUCCACUGAAAAUUCUUCUCUAUCCACCAUGUCUGCAAACUCAAAACCUUACAAAGAGGAAUAUUUCUGAUAAAGGGGCACUCUUUGACAUCCACAACUUCCUACAACAUUUUAAAACUUUAUUAAAUUGAACAAUUUUAAAAUGGCUGGUCCAUAUGAAAAAAACAUGUGCAUGGUCAUAAAAUAUUGAGAAACUCACUCUGAAUGCUUAAUGUCUACAUAAUCCCUUUGGGCCUGCCAUAAUGAAAAAAAAUCACAAGUAUCUCACAUGUUUUCUUGUCCAUAAACAAAUUACAUAAAAUAAUUCUAUUUACUAUAUCUUUGUGAAUUAUCUCUUACAGACCUGAAAAAAAAAGAUUUUUC
Molecule: long non-coding RNA, 2117 nt
Filed under: Pelobates cultripes (western spadefoot toad)
Lineage: Eukaryota; Metazoa; Chordata; Amphibia; Anura; Pelobatidae
Source: RNAcentral